Molecule: ribosomal RNA, 253 nt
Filed under: uncultured bacterium
Lineage: Bacteria
Description: partial 16S ribosomal RNA
Rfam family: Bacterial small subunit ribosomal RNA
Source: RNAcentral
UACGUAGGUGACAAGCGUUGUCCGGAUUUACUGGGUGUAAAGGGCGCGUAGGCGGGAUAGCAAGUCAGAAGUGAAAUACCGGGGCUCAACCUCGGGGCUGCUUUUGAAACUGCUAUUCUUGAGUAUCGGAGAGGAAAGCGGAAUUCCCAGUGUAGCGGUGAAAUGCGUAGAUAUUGGGAGGAACACCAGUGGCGAAGGCGGCUUUCUGGACGACAACUGACGCUGAGGCGCGAAAGUGUGGGGAGCAAACAGG